GAUGAACGCUGGCGGCGUGCCUAAUACAUGCAAGUCGAGCGAAUGGAUUAAGAGCUUGCUCUUAUGAAGUUAGCGGCGGACGGGUGAGUAACACGUGGGUAACCUGCCCAUAAGACUGGGAUAACUCCGGGAAACCGGGGCUAAUACCGGAUCACACUUUGAACCGCAUGGUUCGAAAUUGAAAGGCGGCUUCGGCUGUCACUUAUGGAUGGAGCCGCGUCGCAUUAGCUAGUUGGUGAGGUAACGGCUUCCCAAGGCAACGAUGCGUAGCCGACCUGAGAGGGUGAUCGGCCACACUGGGACUGAGACACGGCCCAGACUCCUACGGGAGGCAGCAGUAGGGAAUCUUCCGCAAUGGACGAAAGUCUGACGGAGCAACGCCGCGUGAGUGAUGAAGGCUUUCGGGUCGUAAAACUCUGUUGUUAGGGAAGAACAAGUGCUAGUUGAAUAAGCUGGCACCUUGACGGUACCUAACCAGAAAGCCACGGCUAACUACGUGCCAGCCGCCGCAGUAA
RNAcentral lists this ribosomal RNA (515 nucleotides) under uncultured bacterium. RNAcentral describes it as "partial 16S ribosomal RNA". It matches the Rfam family "Bacterial small subunit ribosomal RNA", at positions 28 to 523 of the family's 1533-position model. The record is from RNAcentral.